CGGUGUGUCCUUCAAUUGAACUCUUUGCUCUUUUUAAAAUUCAAUUCUUUUUGUGUAGUGCUUUGCUGAAAACAGCACUGAACACCAGUUCCCAUCUUACGAGCCUCAUGGCUUCUACAAACAAUCUAUCUGCUGCCACCUGAAAACCUGUCACAAAACAACUGCCUCCUUUGCAAUUUACAAGGUAUUGGAAUAACAACCAAAAUGAUGGCGUGUAUUGUUACUUAAAGUCAUCGGUGCACUUGGAUCCCAGUGCAACCUUUGCAUGGCUUCAUUCAGCAACCAGAGAGCAAGAGAAUAAAGCUGUAAGAUAAGGUGAACUGGCCAGGAGCCAGAAGAGAAAUAGAUAGGGAAGGAUACCCUGAGACUCAGGUGGAGUAGGACAAGACACCAAAGCAAGAGAUCACAAUAGCUGUUGACUCCAGAAGGCUGUAUAAGGCCUCUCGUCUAAAGGCAGUUUGCUUUUGCUCAUCUUGGGUCAUGUAGAGACGAUUCAUCUUCUCCUGCAUGUCAUCCUGGCUAACCUGCUCAGACACAUUCUGAUAUUUUAGAGGGUGAAAACAUGAGGAAGCAAAGUCAGCUUAAUUACAAACUUUAAUAAGUCUUGUAGUGAGUUUUGUUUCACUAGCUGCCUCAGUACUCGGCAGACAAUCUGGAGUGGGAGAGUAAAAGAAAACCUUUCCACUAUUACCUCUUCAUUGUAAAAUGAAAUGGCUUGGAUCCCUAUACUGGAAAAGAAAAAUAGUAUAAGCUAUACAUAGCAACUGCCAGUUAGAUUAAAAAAUAAAAACAAGCAAACAAACAAAAAGACUAGCAGUCUCUAUACCGUGGUUGGAUCUGUUGCAGAUGUUUCUAAUGAAAGCACUACAGCUAACAGCAGAGUUAACAGAGGGGUGACACAGUGACAAACCGCAAUUGUUAUCUUGAUUGCUAUCAAGAUUACGUAACACCAAAAGGCAGACUGGGAAAACAAAGGACUUACUGAAAGCAGAAAGUGAGAAUAUUUAGAAAAGCAGAAC
RNAcentral lists this long non-coding RNA (1019 nucleotides) under Meleagris gallopavo (turkey). RNAcentral's name for it is "lncRNA (ENSMGAG00000020897.1)". The record is from RNAcentral. Lineage: Eukaryota; Metazoa; Chordata; Aves; Galliformes; Phasianidae.